This 519-nucleotide ribosomal RNA is filed under the name uncultured bacterium. Its description in RNAcentral is "partial 16S ribosomal RNA". It matches the Rfam family "Bacterial small subunit ribosomal RNA", at positions 28 to 523 of the family's 1533-position model. The record is from RNAcentral.
GACGAACGCUGGCGGCGUGCAUAACACAUGCAAGUGGAGCGACCGGCGGGCCCCUAGGGCCCAUUCAAUGCCGGGAGCCGCGAACGGGUGAGUAACACGUGGGCAACCUGCCCCGUCGAUUGGGAUAGCCCGGGGAAACCCGGAUUAAUACCGAAUGACCUGCCGACUCGACUGGAGUGGGCAGCAAAGGAGAGCUUCGGCCUCCGCGAGGGGAUGGGCCCGCGGCCUAUUAGCUAGUUGGUGGGGUGAAGGCCUACCAAGGCGACGAUGGGUAGCUGGUCUGAGAGGACGAACAGCCACACUGGGACUGAGACACGGCCCAGACUCCUACGGGAGGCUGCAGUGGGGAAUCUUGCGCAAUGAGCGAAAGCUUGACGCAGCAACGCCGCGUGAGGGAAGAAGGCCUUCGGGUCGUAAACCUCUACAGGUCGAGAGCAAGGGCCGGCAGGUUAAGAGCCAGCCGGCUUGAGAGUAUCGACCCAUCAGUCCCGGCUAACUACGUGCCAGCCGCCGCCGUAA